Molecule: long non-coding RNA, 517 nt
Organism: Hemiscyllium ocellatum (epaulette shark)
Lineage: Eukaryota; Metazoa; Chordata; Chondrichthyes; Orectolobiformes; Hemiscylliidae
Exons: 4
Source: RefSeq, a predicted model, not a curated record
UGUCCCUGACUCAGCACAAUUCCCAAUUCCUGUCUCGUCCAUCACCACAUUGAAGACGGUUGGUCAGCCAGAGAGAGAUGGAGAGUGAGAUCUGGAGCCUUCAGUAAAUCCUGCAGCCGGUACUCGGGAAGUUCCUGACUCAAUAGACUUCCCAACUGCUGUGCGUCUCAUCCAUCACCUCAUUGAAGAUGGUUGGUCAGCCAGGGAGACAAAGGGCAGGGAGAUCUGGAGCCUUUAAUAAAUCCUGCAGUGAGGUACUCAGGAAGGUUCAGACUCGAUUAACUUCCCAGCUGCUGGGUGUCUCGUCCAUCAUCACAUUGAAGAUAGUUGGUCAGCCAGAGAGACAAAAGAGAGGGAGAUCUGCAGCCUUCAAUAAAUCCUGCAGUGAGGUAUUACGAAGGUCCUGAUUCAAUAGACUUCCCAGCUGCUGGGUGUCUUGCUAAUCGCCACAUUGAAGAUGGUUGAUCAGCCAGGGAGACAAAGGGAAGGGAGAUUUGGAGUCUUCAAUAAAUCUGGA